This is a long non-coding RNA of Haliotis rufescens (red abalone), 1424 nucleotides long. RefSeq lists it as uncharacterized. NCBI's taxonomy places the organism in Eukaryota, Metazoa, Mollusca, Gastropoda, Lepetellida, Haliotidae. The record is from RefSeq and is a predicted model, not a curated record. The transcript is spliced from 3 exons.
GCGAAAGAUAUUUGCUGUGCACACGUUUCCGAGGAGAGAGAGCCAAUUGGAGGAAACAUCUGCUGCAAGGCCAGUCUGGCGGUAAUGAGUAGAAUGCCGUCAUACAGCUACCAGUAGCUUGCUGAUAUCAGAAUUAUGGCCUCUAAGAAUAGCUUGCCUUGUCCUUUUGGAGGAGUCUGAGGAUGAAGAAAUGGAGGAGGAGGAACUUUUUGCAUGUCUGGCAAUGUUUAAGAAAGAGAAAGGGGGAAAAGAAAAUGGUUGAUCCAUCCUUUCACCAACCAUCGUCUGGAUGAGGGAUCCUACCAUCGUUUGGUGAAGGAACUAGAAGAGGAUUGUGAUAAAUUCCAUGGAUAAUUCAGAAUGCCGAAAGAUAUGUUUGAUUACGUUUAGGCGAAAAUUGAAGAUGUCAUCAAAAGACAAGACACACACGGCUCCGCAAGUCCAUUUCACCUAGGGAGAGAUUGGCAGUUACAUUACGAUAUCUGGCCACAGGGGAAUCUUUCACGUGUCUUUCCUACAACUAUAGAAUCGGAGCAACAACUAUUGGUCUCAUCGUGAAGGACGUCUGUGCUGCUAUCUGGCAGACAAUGCAGCCAGAGUUUAUGAAGGUGCCAUCAACAUCUGAUGAUUGGAGAGAAGUAGCCAAUGGGUUUGAGGAAUCUUGGCAGUUCCGAAAUUGCUGUGGAGCUGUCGAUGGAAAACAUGUAGUGAUGAAAGCCCCAGCCAACUCGGGAUCAGUAUUUUACAAUUACAAAGGCACAUUCUCCAUCAUCCUCCUGGCUGCAGUUGAUGCUAAGUACAGGUUCAUCACAAUUGAUGUAGGUUCAUAUGGUAUGAACAAUGAUUCUGGUGUAUAUCGCUCAUCAAAAUUUGGACAGGCACUCAAAAAUGAAUCUCUCUCGUUGCCACAAGACAGAGCACUCCCAGGAGCUGAGGAACUUUGAGAACUCCCCUACGUAUUUAUUGCUGAUGAAGGUUUGCCCUUGCUGAAGAAUCUCAUGAGACCAUAUGGAGGUCGAGGAAGAACCGAAGAGGAGCCUAUUUUUAACUAUCGCCUCAGCCGAGCCAGGAGGAUAGUCGAGACCGCUUUUGGGAUUCUGGCUACAAGAUGGAGAGUGUUUCACACCAAAAUAAUGACGGAACCGAGCACAGCAAAGGAAAUUGUAAAGGCACCGUGUGUUCUUCACAAUUUCCUUCAAAGUGCUUCUGGAACAACCAAUGAAACACUCACCCCAGACCAUGCACGAGAUGAGUGUUCAAUGCUAGCAGGGCUGUCCAAUUACACCAGACGAAACAGCAAGGUUGCUGAACAAAUCAGAGACAUCUACAAGCAUUACUUUAACAAUCAAGGACAACUAUCCUGGCAGACCGAACUUGUAAGGAAAGGCUUGUUUCCAACGAAAGAUUAAUGAACUUACAUAAGU